UCCCUGGUGGUCCAGUGGUUAGGGCUGGACAUUUUUCAUUGCCAUGGCCCAGGUUCAAUCCCUGGUCAGGGAA
RNAcentral lists this transfer RNA (73 nucleotides) under Bos taurus (domestic cattle). It matches the Rfam family "tRNA". From Rfam's summary of the family: Transfer RNA (tRNA) molecules are approximately 80 nucleotides in length. Their secondary structure includes four short double-helical elements and three loops (D, anti-codon, and T loops). RNAcentral also lists the same sequence under 7 other names. Lineage: Eukaryota; Metazoa; Chordata; Mammalia; Artiodactyla; Bovidae. The record is from Rfam by way of RNAcentral.